UACGGAAGGCAGCAGUGGGGAAUAUUGCACAAUGGGCGAAAGCCUGAUGCAGCUAUGCCGCGUGUAUGAAGAAGGCCUUAGGGUUGUAAAGUACUUUCAUCGGGGAGGAAAAAACAAAACUAAUAAUUUUAUUUCUUGACGUUACCCGAAAAAGAAGCACCGGCUAACUCCGUGCCAGCAGCCGCGGUAAUACGGAGGGUGCUAGCGUUAAUCAGAAUUACUGGGCGUAAAGAGCACGUAGGUGGUUUUUUUAAAGUCAGAUGUGAAAUCCCUGGGCUUAACCUGGAACUGCAUUUUGAAACUGAAAUACUAGAGUAUCGUAGAGGGAGGUAGAAUUCUAGGUGUAGCGGUGAAAUGCGUAGAUAUCUGGAGGAAUACCUGUGGCGAAAGCGGCCUCCUAAACGAAUACUGACACUGAGGUGCGAAAGCUGGGGAGCAAACAGGGAUUAGAUACC
RNAcentral lists this ribosomal RNA (455 nucleotides) under uncultured bacterium. Its description in RNAcentral is "bacterial SSU rRNA". It matches the Rfam family "Bacterial small subunit ribosomal RNA", at positions 340 to 786 of the family's 1533-position model. The record is from RNAcentral.